This 497-nucleotide ribosomal RNA is filed under the name uncultured bacterium. RNAcentral's name for it is "partial 16S ribosomal RNA". It matches the Rfam family "Bacterial small subunit ribosomal RNA", at positions 28 to 507 of the family's 1533-position model. The record is from RNAcentral.
GACGAACGCUGGCGGCGUGCCUAAUACAUGCAAGUAGAACGCUGAAGCGAGGAGCUUGCUCUUCUUGGAUGAGUUGCGAACGGGUGAGUAACGCGUAGGUAACCUGCCUGGUAGCGGGGGAUAACUAUUGGAAACGAUAGCUAAUACCGCAUAAAAUUGAUUAUUGCAUGAUAAUUAAUUGAAAGAUGCAACUGCAUCACUACCAGAUGGACCUGCGUUGUAUUAGCUAGUUGGUGAGGUAGCGGCUCACCAAGGCGACCAUACAUAGCCGACCUGAGAGGGUGAUCGGCCACACUGGGACUGAGACACGGCCCAGACUCCUACGGGAGGCAGCAGUAGGGAAUCUUCGGCAAUGGGGGGAACCCUGACCGAGCAACGCCGCGUGAGUGAAGAAGGUUUUCGGAUCGUAAAGCUCUGUUGUAAGAGAAGAACGGGUGUGAGAGUGGAAAGUUCACACUGUGACGGUAUCUUACCAGAAAGGGACGGCUAACUACGUG